Molecule: unclassified non-coding RNA, 343 nt
Filed under: soil metagenome
Description: partial contains 5.8S ribosomal RNA, internal transcribed spacer 2, and large subunit ribosomal RNA
Rfam family: 5.8S ribosomal RNA (bases 1-120)
Source: RNAcentral
GAUGAAGAACGCAGCGAAAUGCGAUAAGUAAUGUGAAUUGCGGAAUUCAGUGAAUCAUCGAAUCUUUGAACGCACAUUGCGCCCGCUAGUAUUCUGGCGGGCAUGCCUGUCCGAGCGUCAUUUCAACCCUCAAGCCCCCGGGCUUGGUGUUGGGGAUCGGCGAGCCUCCGCGCCCGCCGUCCCCUAAAUCUAGUGGCGGUCUCGCUGUAGCUUCCUCUGCGUAGUAGCACACCUCGCACUGGGAAACAGCGCGGCCACGCCGUUAAACCCCCAACUUCUGAACGUUUGACCUCGGAUCAGGUAGGAAUACCCGCUGAACUUAAGCAUAUCAAUAAGCGGAGGA